This is a long non-coding RNA of Macrobrachium nipponense, 678 nucleotides long. RefSeq lists it as uncharacterized. NCBI's taxonomy places the organism in Eukaryota, Metazoa, Arthropoda, Malacostraca, Decapoda, Palaemonidae. The transcript is spliced from 3 exons. The record is from RefSeq and is a predicted model, not a curated record.
CAAUGAAGGAAGAGUGCUGUAGAUCUGGACCUCCCCUACCCAAAAAAUGACCUGGUGUUUCCUCCCCCCCUUCCGGUGAUAAAAGACCCACUUCGGAAGAAAAGAAGACUCAUAAGAAUAACGUAUCUAUUGUUCCCACGGACGUGGAAGCUGCCCGGCGUGCUAGGCCUAAGCAAAUUCUAAUGGAGGGGCCUCCUAGUCGCUAGACAAAGAGCUAGAGAGAGAGCAAGGCUACUUCAGUGCGCUGAAGCCAAGAAGGAUACUUCACGACGGUGUACAGUAAACCAUCCAAUCCCGGGCUUUGUUUAAUAGCAAGAACAAGUGUCCGGACGUCUACCAGAAAGGAGUGUCGCUGACACUUAUGUAAGGAGGCCCCCUCUCACACUGGUCUACCUUGAACGAAACGGCGAAACUGUAGGAGAAACUCAACCUCUUGUCAACUUGUCAACAACGGUUCAUACACAGGGAAAUUAAAAAAUAAAUAAAUGCCUUUAGCUGGUAAUUAUUCGUCCUUUUCAUUAAUAAAAGAUUUACCAGAUUUUGUGACUAAUGGUGUAAAUAGCGCAGUCUUAUCCAAGGAUUCUGAAAUGAAAUAGCAACUAAUAAAAUAUAAGAUAUAAAAUCGCAUUUCGUUCUUUAACGUCUUUAUAUGAGUGUGUAUUCAUUUACGUAUUUAUA